CUUAGCUGUUUAACGGAGUCAUGCGAGAGCAGGUUUUAAAUGAUGGAAAAAGUGAUGAUAGCUCGCUUGAACAGCAAUCAUCGUAGUAAUUGCAGAAGAAAGAGAUGCAAUAUUUUAAUAUUACGAAAAGUUCUGCACCAGUUUAAAAAAUCACUGGAAUAUCAUUGUCAAAUGCUUAACUGACAAUAUCUGUCUUCAAAAUACAAAUUUAUUUAAAAAUACAAAAAGAAAUUAAUAAUAAAGUCUUGCGUGUUUAGCUAAAAUGUCAGAGUCUGAUUUAUUAAAAGUUGAAGAGUCAAAAAAUCUAAAACCAUGUUGUGCAUGUCCGGAAACAAAGAUACCAAGAGAUAAGUGUAUAAUGGAAAAAGGAGAAGAAAAUUGUGAAGAUUUAAUAGAAGCUCAUAAACAAUGCAUGAGGAGUCUUGGAUUCAAAAUUUAAGAAUAUAGUUACUUAA
Hydra vulgaris (swiftwater hydra) is the source of this 455-nucleotide long non-coding RNA. RefSeq lists it as uncharacterized. The record is from RefSeq and is a predicted model, not a curated record. Lineage: Eukaryota; Metazoa; Cnidaria; Hydrozoa; Anthoathecata; Hydridae.